Transfer RNA from Ovis aries (sheep), 73 nucleotides. It matches the Rfam family "tRNA". From Rfam's summary of the family: Transfer RNA (tRNA) molecules are approximately 80 nucleotides in length. Their secondary structure includes four short double-helical elements and three loops (D, anti-codon, and T loops). Further hydrogen bonds mediate the characteristic L-shaped molecular structure. tRNAs have two regions of fundamental functional importance: the anti-codon, which is responsible for specific mRNA codon recognition, and the 3' end, to which the tRNAs corresponding amino acid is attached (by aminoacyl-tRNA synthetases). tRNAs cope with the degeneracy of the genetic code in two manners: having more than one tRNA (with a specific anti-codon) for a particular amino acid; and 'wobble' base-pairing, i.e. permitting non-standard base-pairing at the 3rd anti-codon position. The record is from Rfam. NCBI's taxonomy places the organism in Eukaryota, Metazoa, Chordata, Mammalia, Artiodactyla, Bovidae.
UUCCUGGUGGUCUAGUAGUUAAGAUUCUGUACUCCUAAUGCAGGGGGCACAGGUUUGAUCCCUGGUCGGGGAA